Molecule: long non-coding RNA, 1078 nt
Filed under: Heterocephalus glaber (naked mole-rat)
Lineage: Eukaryota; Metazoa; Chordata; Mammalia; Rodentia; Bathyergidae
Description: lncRNA (ENSHGLG00000042615.1)
Source: RNAcentral
GUUCCUUCUCCACAGCUUCGUCACUCUCCCCAUUCGUGCCCCAGAGUGGGCCCAAGGUGGGCAGUGGGGACGGAGAGCUGGACUUCUCUGGAGGAGGCACUCUUGCUCCUCAGGAAUGGGGUCCUUGGGGCCCUUCUGGGUGGGCAAGGGGCAGAAAGCACAUGGUAGGGGGGGCAGGGGCCCCAAAUGGGGCAUGCAUCUCCCCACCCUCUGAUCAGCCCACCUUGCCUCUCCUCGAAGAUACCUUGAGAGGCAAGAAGGCCCCAGAGGCAUCGAAGGUGCCCAUCUCUUCAUCCUCAUCAUUGAGGCACCACUCUGGGAGUCCGUCCUUGUCGUCGUCAAAGCCAUCAGGCCCAUGGCACCUCCGGAGGUGAGAGCUGCCUCCCCCACCCCGCCCCCUCCUCUUCACCACACCCUCCUCGCUCCCCUCGCAUAUCAAAGUCAAACUUUCGACGCCGCUCCCCAUGUUCCCGCCAGCCAGCAGAGCGGGGGCCGCCAUCUGGAAGGAAAAGGGAAACUGGCACCCAGAGCAAGGCAGUAUCGUCCCUCAUCUGCCAUUCACAGGACACCCCAGGAAUACCAGCAUCACCAACACUGUUCUCCCACCCAGCCCCACCCCAGCAAGCCUUCUGCUCCCUCCUCUUGGCCACAGGAGUGCACUUUCCCGCUCUCGAAGCCCACAGCACCAAUUUGACUGAUCUUACCAGGACUAGUGGAGCGCCAGCGAUCACCAUCUCGCCGGGGUCCUGCCCCAAGUCUCCAGCUGCCCUCUUCCUCCUCCUCCUGCUCCUCUCGAAGUGAGCGCCAGUUCUCACUGUCUGAGCGGGCGUGCUCCUUCCUUGGGCCAGCCCCUCCCUCCUCAAACCCAGAUCUCGCUGGCCAUGGGAAGAGAGGCGGCACAGUAAGCAGGACGGCUGCCCUGGGACCUGGAAGUCUCUUAACCCUGCUUCAGGCCAUCCUGCCUCUACCACUGGCCCCAUAAACUUCCCCCUAUCUGGGGGCACCCAUCUCAGUCGCCCCCCCACCUCUGGCCACCAGGCUUGCCACUCUCAUACCUCCAUCCCUCCUUGCCGGCUUC